UGGACGAUGAUGAGUACUGGUGGCAUAUGAGUCAUCUUCAAUGAAUAUGUGUCUGGAACUCUGAGGUGCAU
Small nucleolar RNA from Aotus nancymaae (Ma's night monkey), 71 nucleotides. The record is from Ensembl. NCBI's taxonomy places the organism in Eukaryota, Metazoa, Chordata, Mammalia, Primates, Aotidae.